GCCGGGUGUAGUGGCGGGCGCCUGUAGUCCCAGCUACUCAGGAGGCUGAGGCAGGAGAAUCGCUUGAACCCGGGAGGCUGAUGUUGCAGUGAGCCGAGAUCGCAUCACUGCACUCCAGCCUGGGUGACAGAGCAGGACUCUGUCUCAA
RNAcentral lists this non-coding RNA (148 nucleotides) under Homo sapiens (human). The record is from Rfam by way of RNAcentral. Lineage: Eukaryota; Metazoa; Chordata; Mammalia; Primates; Hominidae.